UACGUAGGGUGCGAGCGUUGUCCGGAAUUACUGGGCGUAAAGAGUGCGUAGGCGGUUUUCUAAGUUUGGUGUGAAAUCUCCCGGCUCAACUGGGAGGGUGCGCCGAAGACUGGAAGGCUUGAGUAUGGGAGAGGUAAGCGGAAUUCCUGGUGUAGCGGUGAAAUGCGUAGAUAUCAGGAGGAACACCUGCGGUGUAGACGGCUUACUGGACCAUAACUGACGCUGAGGCACGAAAGCGUGGGUAGCAAACAGG
This 253-nucleotide ribosomal RNA is filed under the name uncultured bacterium. Its description in RNAcentral is "partial 16S ribosomal RNA". It matches the Rfam family "Bacterial small subunit ribosomal RNA", at positions 524 to 776 of the family's 1533-position model. The record is from RNAcentral.